GGAAGAAAGCUUUGGUGUGGCUCUCCAGUGACAUCUCACCUUUUAUCUUUCUGGAAGAAGUUGAAGACUGUGGUUUCUUUUUUUUCGGAUUUCAACGUCUCUGCAGGCACAAAGUCAACAGUGGACAAUGGGAUUACCCUGAAAGCAGAGCCCCCCAGCUGCUAAUGGGUUCAUUCUGGCCAGUUGGGAACCGGCUCCUGUCCCUACCCUAUCCCCAGUGCAAUCACCAUGCAGACAGCAGGCUCACUGUCAAGCCCAGCAUAGCCCACAUUGACUACAAGGGGACUAAUCAGGGUAGACUGAGCAUUUGUGGAGAACAUUUCCUGGAUGUCACUUGCCUGGUUCCUGUUGUCUGUGCAAUAACAGCUUGAUUACCAGCAGCCCCUGAAGUACUUCAUCUAUUCUCUGGGCCAGGAAGGUCCCAGAGAGGUUCUGCUAGGACUUGACCCUAGUCAUCUGUUGCAGUAGAAGACUGAGCUGGAUUCUGGAGUAACCAUCUAUCGCUCGCUGUCUUUGAGAAGGAGGAAGACUGCAUAGGGGGCUGGGAAGCUUCCAGAGGGCUAGCCUAUAUGGGAGACUCAUUUUCCCAGUCAAAGGGCUGUAUUGCUUCUCCACUGGGAAUGUGGCCUUGGAGGUAAGAAUUAAGCCUUCCUGGAACUCCAUUCCCUGGGAAUUAAUUUCAUAUCUGAUUCUCAGCCAGCUCUGUUCUUUGACAGCAAGAGUCUGUGCUGUCAUGGAGGUCCUCAGCCUCUCUUUAGGCAUCCUCAACAGAAUGGGAAGAGUCCAAAGUCCUUUCAACUAGUGGAGAUGGUGCCCCCUGCUGGCUGCCUGGAGCAGUGGAACUGAGAAAGAGGACAAUGGCCAGGUCUUCCCAGAGAGGAGAGACGCCAGAGGUCCACACUUCCUGGCAGCCACGGGAGCAAGGGCUGUGAUCUGAAAGAGCAUCUGGUGACAUCUACAGCAUCUGCCAGGCCACUGUUCGAGCCCCUCACCCAUCUAGUCAGCUGACAUGUCUCGGGUAUCCUGAGGAGACAUCCAGGGUCCCAGCUGCUUCGUGGGAGCUUGCAUUCCGGACAGAUGAGACAGUACAGGUCAGGACACAGCCACGGCAGCUACUUGAGCAUCUGGUCAAAGCUGUCUAAGUGGGGCCACGAGGUCAGCAGGAAUGAAUGACAGGCUUAUGGGCAUGGAGGGUAUAGGUAUCCAGGCAAGAGAACUCCCGGUGGGCUUGGUUGAGGAGAAUGUGUAGAGUACUUGGAAGCCAGGAAGACUAUGAGCUCCCGUGGUGUCUGAGGCGCCUCAGGUCUUGGCAUUGGCCUGGGUCCAUCUUCUGAUCCUUGCCUGCCAAGAUUUCUCACUCCAGCAGAAAUCUUCAAGGUCACAGUGUCCUGAUGGACCUGUAUGCCUUGUCCUCGAUAAUUAUUUGGGAGGGCAAAUAGUUGCUUAGUUAAGCUGACUUUGUACACUGGUCGACUAGACUUUUCUGGUAAGUGUUGGCCUAGGACUUUAGCAGCAGACGGAUUUUGACCCUUUAUUUGAGAAAUAGGAUAAAAUGUCUUUGUCCCUCCCUCCCACAGAGCAGAGUGCUCUGUGAUCAUUAGUUUUAACUGUUUUCUGACACAAUCUACAGUUAUCUGGGAAGAGAGUGUUAGUGUGGAAUUGUUUAGAUCAGGUUAGUGAGUGUGGGGUUAUCUUUUUUCAUGACAACUGUCUUUUUAUUUAGUAAGAUUGUAACUGAAAUAUAAUUGCAUGACUUUCCCUCCUCCCUUUCCUCCCACUGGCCCUUAAUAUUUCCUCAAACCCUGCACAUGUUGCUCCUCUUCAAGUUGCUAGCCUAGUUUUUGGGGGGCGGGGUUGUUGACUUUUUUUAAAUCAAACUAAUAAAAUUUAUUUUAAAAUA
This is a long non-coding RNA of Mus musculus (house mouse), 1900 nucleotides long. RefSeq annotates it as predicted gene 28382. The record is from RefSeq and is a predicted model, not a curated record. The transcript has 3 exons. NCBI's taxonomy places the organism in Eukaryota, Metazoa, Chordata, Mammalia, Rodentia, Muridae.